This 71-nucleotide transfer RNA is filed under the name Tropidophorus hainanus. Its description in RNAcentral is "tRNA-Leu". It matches the Rfam family "tRNA". Rfam says of the family: Transfer RNA (tRNA) molecules are approximately 80 nucleotides in length. Their secondary structure includes four short double-helical elements and three loops (D, anti-codon, and T loops). Further hydrogen bonds mediate the characteristic L-shaped molecular structure. tRNAs have two regions of fundamental functional importance: the anti-codon, which is responsible for specific mRNA codon recognition, and the 3' end, to which the tRNAs corresponding amino acid is attached (by aminoacyl-tRNA synthetases). tRNAs cope with the degeneracy of the genetic code in two manners: having more than one tRNA (with a specific anti-codon) for a particular amino acid; and 'wobble' base-pairing, i.e. permitting non-standard base-pairing at the 3rd anti-codon position. The record is from RNAcentral. Lineage: Eukaryota; Metazoa; Chordata; Lepidosauria; Squamata; Scincidae.
ACUUUUAAAGGAUCACAGUAAUCCAUUAGUCUUAGGAGCUAAAAUUCUUGGUGCAACUCCAAGUAAAAGUA